This is an RNA transcript of Papaver somniferum (opium poppy), 2653 nucleotides long. RefSeq lists it as uncharacterized. The record is from RefSeq and is a predicted model, not a curated record. The transcript has 6 exons. Lineage: Eukaryota; Viridiplantae; Streptophyta; Magnoliopsida; Ranunculales; Papaveraceae.
AGAGACCUUAAAAAAACUGAAGAAAAAACCUUUACAAAAACUAAUAAAUUUUUGAUAAGCCUUUUGUGAAGUAUCGAGGGUAUCAUAUCCGAUACGGGUAUCGGAGAAUCGGAUUCGUAUACGUAGAUGAUUCUCAAGUAUCGGCGCAACCCAGUGUUUUCAUAACCCUGCGGCCUUCACUGUUUCUGCUCUCUUCAACUUCCGCUUUGAAUUAUCCUCCAACAAAAUGAAAUGAGAUGAAAUUGCUUAUCAGAAGAGUAUUCUUCAAUUAUCACCAUCUUCCCGUGCUUCUAACAUCACUCAACUUUAUCAGAAGUUAUCGGGGUUCAACAACAGCCCAAUUUGAGAAUUUUGUAAAGUCUGGAGAGAUUAAAAAUCCUGAAAUUGCAAAGCUGUACUUUCAAAAAAUGAUUACAUUGAACCCAUUACCAUCAACAAUUACUUUUGAUCAUCUACUAACUUCAAUAUCCAAGCUUACAUGUUAUUCCGCUAUUUUUCCGUUGUAUAAAAUCAUGAAAAUGGUCGGAAUCCAACCUAGUAUCUACACAAUGAACAUUGGGAUCAACUGUUGUUGUAAAUUAAGUCAAGUUGAUUACGGGUUCUGUUUGUUUGGUGAAAUUUUGAAGAGGGGUUAUGAUCCUGAUAUAGUUACUUACAAUACUUUGAUCAAGGGUCUCUGCGUACAGGAACAGAUAGGUUCUGCCAUUGAUGUGUUUGAGAAAAUGACUGAGACGGAUGUUCGAGCUGAUGCUGUUACAUAUAAUACUCUUAUAUGUGGGUUUUGUAGCAUUGGUGAGGUCAGUGUUGGUUUAAAGUUGCUGAGAAUGAUGGUAAAUUGGCACUGCAGGCCCGAUGUGAUCACUUAUACUUCUUUGAUUCAUGGAUUUUGCAGUUUUGCUCAGGUAGAUGAAGCAAUCAAACUCUUUGAUGAGAUGUUUAGACGAGGAAUUUCAGCUAAUAUUAUCACUUACAAUUCUUUAAUUCAUGGUUUAUGCAAGUAUGGGCGGUGGGAGGAAGGGAGGAGAUACUUUUAUCAACUGAUGGACCGAGGGAUCUCACCGAACGUAGUAACGUUCAGUGUUUUACUAGAUUCCUUCUGGAAAGAAGGUAAAAUGAAAGAGGCUUGUUAUGUCUUUGGAAUGAUGAGCGAGUUAGGCAAUGACCCUACUGUGGUAACUUAUACUUCCAUGAUAAAUGGCUACUGCAAGAAUUUCAGGUUGUAUGAAGCUGUUCAACUCUUCAACGAUAUGCAACACAAAGGUAUCCAGCCCAACCAAGUUACUUACAAUAUACUAAUAGAUGGACUAUGCCGGAAUGGAGAGGUUGGAACUGCAAUAAACUUGUUUAAUGAGAUAAAAUCUAGUGGACAAUCCUUAGACCUAAUAACAUAUGGUGCACUGUUAAAUGGGCUUUUAAAAAACCAAGUAGUUGACAGAGCAAUUGAAAUAUUUCAUUCCAUGGAGGAUAAUGGCUUCGAAGCUAACAUUUGUAUCUACAAGAUACUCAUUGAUGGGUUGUGCAAGGCUGGGAAACUGGUAUAUGCAGGGCAAAUAUUUUGCGAACUUUGUGAUAAAAGAUUGGUUCCGGACAUUAUAACAUAUACUACAAUGAUAAAUGGCCUAUGCAAGAAAGGGAUGUCACUUGAGGCUGAGAAAAUUAUCAUCGAAAUGGAAAAGAAUGGUUGCUUACCUGACACUUUCAUGUAUAACACCAUUCUUCAAGGUUUUAUUUUUGAACAAGAUGUCAAUAAGGCAAUGCAUUUUCUUCACGAGAUGCGUGAAAGAAAACUUGUUCCGGACAUUGCUGUGAUUUCAUUGUUAAAUAAUACUCUUGCGCUGGAUCAACUUGAUAACUAUAAUUAUUCUCCGAAACAAGUUAAUGAUUGAGAGUACCUGCUUCAGCUACUUUGCAUGGUACUAAGGCAUUGGAGUUCUUCUCCAUUUGAGGUGUUCUCACUGUCCCUAAGAAGAUUUCACUGUCAAAAUAUUGUACAGCAGAAAGCAUCCUACAAGUUAUCUCGAGUCUUGCUUGAAAAUAGCUCUCGGAUGAUAUGGAUAAAUGGGUACAAAAGUUGGGGGAGUGAGUUCAAAAUCUGGAAGAAGGAUUCUGUAUGGAUGCUAUUACCUUCCUCUCUGUGUGUAUGUGUUCAGUCCACCCCACCAAAUUGCAAGCCUUGUUGCAACAAACAUGGGCGCAAGCAGUAGAUGGUGUAGAGAACGUCAUCUGGUUAUGUAAGCAAAGGCAAUAUAACCAUCAAAGGUGUUUUCCGUUGACAUUGUUUAAUUCAGCAAAUUGGGGUGGAGUAAUUCAUCAUGAAUUACAAAGAUUGUUAUGUGUACUUGUAAUUCAAGAUGAAUUACAAAGAUUGGUCAAGGAAUACAGGACUUUUGUUCCUCCAUUCACCAAUGGCAUUUUGCAGAAUUACAAGGAGGACAGUAUAGUCGCUAAGAAAAACUUCGGAACGUUUCUAACUGCGUUUUAUCCCUACUUGUUUGAUAACUAACAUUUCCAUUUUGGGCACCCCAUUAUUUAGGCUUUUAGAAUACUGAUGCCUAUAUUAUUAGCCUAACCGUAAGCUGCCAGACAAAUUUGCCCACCUAUACCUCUCAUGUAAAUUACAGUUUAUAGUAAUCUGAUUUUAUUGCUGGUGUAA